GACGAACCGUGCAAACGUUAUUCGGAAUCACUGGGCUUAAAGGGCGCGUAGGCGGGCCGCCAGGUCCGGGGUGAAAGCCUCCAGCUCAACUGGAGAAGUGCCUCGGAUACCGGCGGCCUCGAGGGAGGCAGGGGCGUGCGGAACUUCGGGUGGAGCGGUGAAAUGCGUAGAUAUCGAGAGGAACACCUGCGGCGAAGGCGGGUUGCUGGGCUGACACUGACGCUGAGGCGCGAAAGCUAGGGGAGCGAACGGG
RNAcentral lists this ribosomal RNA (253 nucleotides) under uncultured bacterium. Its description in RNAcentral is "partial 16S ribosomal RNA". It matches the Rfam family "Bacterial small subunit ribosomal RNA", at positions 524 to 776 of the family's 1533-position model. The record is from RNAcentral.